UUGGAGGGCAAGUCUGGUGCCAGCAGCCGCGGUAAUUCCAGCUCCAAUAGCGUAUAUUAAAGUUGUUGCAGUUAAAAAGCUCGUAGUUGAAUUUCGGAAUCAAUUUGUUGGUCGUGCCUCGGUACGUACUGGUAUUAUUGGUUUCUACCUUCUGAAGAACCUUGAUGUCAUUAAUUUGGUGUCUUGGGGAAUCAGGACUGUUACUUUGAAAAAAUUAGAGUGUUUAAAGCAAGCAUACGCUUGAAUACAUUAGCAUGGAAUAAUGAAAUAGGGCGUUUGAUUCUAUUUUGUUGGUUUCUAGGAUCGACGUAAUGAUUAAUAGGGAUAGUUGGGGGCAUUAGUAUUCAAUUGUCAGAGGUGAAAUUCUUGGAUUUAUUGAAGACUAACUACUGCGAAAGCAUUUGCCAAGGAUGUUUUCAUUAAUCAAGAACGAAAGUUAGGGGAUCGAAGACGAUCAGAUACCGUCGUAGUCUUAACCAUAAACUAUGCCGACUAGGGAUCGGAUGAUGUUAAUUUUUUAAUGACUCAUUCGGCGCCUUACGGGAAACA
This 549-nucleotide ribosomal RNA is filed under the name uncultured Glomus. RNAcentral's name for it is "SSU rRNA". It matches the Rfam family "Eukaryotic small subunit ribosomal RNA", at positions 548 to 1099 of the family's 1831-position model. The record is from RNAcentral. Lineage: Eukaryota; Fungi; Glomeromycota; Glomeromycetes; Glomerales; Glomeraceae.